Molecule: ribosomal RNA, 574 nt
Filed under: uncultured bacterium
Lineage: Bacteria
Description: bacterial SSU rRNA
Rfam family: Bacterial small subunit ribosomal RNA
Source: RNAcentral
GAGUUUGAUCCUGGCUCAGGAUGAACGCUGGCGGCGUGCCUAAUACAUGCAAGUCGAGCGAACAGAUAAGGAGCUUGCUCCUUUGACGUUAGCGGCGGACGGGUGAGUAACACGUGGGUAACCUACCUAUAAGACUGGAAUAACUCCGGGAAACCGGGGCUAAUGCCGGAUAAUAUUUAGAACCGCAUGGUUCUAAAGUGAAGGAUGGUUUUACUAUCACUUAUAGAUGGACCCGCGCCGUAUUAGCUAGUUGGUGGGGUAAUGGCUUACCAAGGCAACGAUACGUAGCCGACCUGAGAGGGUGAUCGGCCACACUGGAACUGAGACACGGUCCAGACUCCUACGGGAGGCAGCAGUAGGGAAUCUUCCGCAAUGGGCGAAAGCCUGACGGAGCAACGCCGCGUGAGUGAUGAAGGUCUUCGGAUCGUAAAACUCUGUUAUUAGGGAAGAACAAAUGUGUAAGUAACUGUGCACGUCUUGACGGUACCUAAUCAGAAAGCCACGGCUAACUACGUGCCAGCAGCCGCGGUAAUACGUAGGUGGCAAGCGUUAUCCGGAAUUAUUGGGCGUAAAG